GAGGGCAGGCAGUGCCCCAGUCAAGCUUUCUGCAGAAACAACUGGGUUGAGGAAGAAGCAGAAUGAAAGCUACAGCAACAGUCAAAAAAGGAAGCCCUGGUUGGACCAAAGUCAACAGCAGUGGCUGAAGACACAACCUGACAUGUGAGGGUCGAAGCUGAGUGCAGGCAUAGAUGUACUUGGGUGAUGAGGUGCAGCAAGUGACAGAGCUAGAACAUCACAAAUCCCUGCUCCUGGUUUCAAGAGUGCUGCCUGACCCAAAGGAAGAUACACCCAAGGAAGCAGCCACCAAAUUCUGUGACAAUUUCACGUGGUACACAAGAGGGAACUCUGCCCUGGGCAGUAGAAACCAAAUGUAAAAGGAAUGAGUUUUCAAGUGGAAAUUUAAUACAACUAAUUAAUGAACUCCUCCUUUGGCCUUGAAUGAAGAUGAUGUUAAACAGAGCUGUGAUUGAGCUGCGGAGAGAUGUGGUUAAGUUGUGUCACCUCCACCUCCAGAAGAAGUUGGCUAGGAUCUUGUGCCCCCAGCCCCUCAGUCUUGUUUUCCAGAAGCAUUAAGAGCAUGCAAGAUGGUGAUACCAAACUCCUGGACACUGCAUGGUGCACGCCUGAAGGGACAGAAGGCAUUCAGGCACCCAGCCUGUGACUCCUACCAAGGUGCCUGCAAGUUUUGGAUGAAAAUUACAUUGAGCUGAGGGGGUUUUUAAUCUAUUACACCCAGAGAGGGAAAACUAAAGAAGAUUAUGAGCAGACAAAAGAUGUAAAGGUUCACACUGAGGCCCUCAGUUUCAAAACCGUGUGCACGUUUCUGCACCUAAUGUAUAUGCAUAUUUAUUGUGACUGCAUAUGGAAAUGGAGCAUCCAUGCCAACAGUUUUACAGCUAACAGGCUUUUUGCAUGUGUCUGCCUUACAAGGCACUUUCUUGAAAGGCACCGGAAGAAGGGAAGGAAAAUGAUGUUAUCCCAUGAAAUAAUCUACUACUAUUUGUGCAGAGUAAAUGUUGAAUUGUGUUGAAGUCAAUGAGAAACUUUCACGGUCUGGCUGCAGGCUUCGCUGGCUGACACUGUUUGUCCAUGAAAAUGUUAUGAACCUCAAACACUGAGCUACACUGGUGCACCUGGAGAUCCAGGCUUGAAGCUAGCAAGCAGGUUCAUCAUUCCCAGCACAACUUCCCAUCCACUGACACAGCUGUUGUCCUCCGCCUGGUAUUUUCCCUUUGCUGUCAGACUUUUGCACAAAGGGGGUUGAAAAGUUAUUACUGUGCCACUCCUUUAGCAGUCAAAAGAGCUCCUACUGGGCAGAAGGCAAGUGUUUGGAAACCAGUGCUUAAAAAAUGAAUGCUCCCCAUAUGAAUUCUUUCUCCACUAUGAAACACCUGAAGCCUUCCUGGCUCCUGCUUCAUUUCUUGAACAAGGGUCGUGGGGAGAGGAAAGUCAGUGCAAACUGUGCUCCAGCAGGACCGGGCUUUCAGAGGCUUUCUAAGAGAAGUCCAGCCAGCACAAAUUAAAGCAGCACUGUGAGCCCUGGCCCACACUACCUCAGUGCCUGUAUUCAAGGAUGAUCAUGCUCACCUUGACUGUUAGGAAAUACUGCUGACCUAAUGCCCAGGUCUCUUUGGUGAGCUGCAAGGCAUUAGCUGUUCCUAUUCAAUCACACUUCCAUGUACCCAGUACAUUAGGAUAUGCGCAAAUGCCUAUUGCCACUUUUUGGUUGACUGCAAGCUAUAUCCUCCCUCAGAUUUCAUCAGGAUUUUCUCUGCUUAGUAGAUGUUUUAUUGCCCUUAUUAUGAAGUCCAGUUGCUGUGUGAUGUCAGAUAGUAGUUACAUUAGUUUGGGGCUUUUUUUGCAGGCUCCUUUGCCAGUUUUCAGGUACUUGCUUCCUGUCUGAGUCGAUUGGCUACCUUAAUUUUUGGUACUUAAUGUUGUAGCAGCUGUGUGGCUUUAUGUGUGUGUGCAUGAAAACAAGCACACCCCCCCCACACCCCCCCAAAACGUCUUUUUCUGGCUGAAACCCAUCUAAAGAAAGAAAGAAAAAAAAGUAAGUAAAUGUCUAUUCAACAGGGCAAUAGUUGCCUCAGAAUUUAAUUACAGCCUGAGUUAUCUGGUGUUCUAAAUUGCUGUCCCAUCCUACAUCAAGACCUGGUGGACUUACAAGGAAGAUAAAGCCCCUCCAUGUAGCUUUUACCUGCUAAUAGCAUUUCUAUCAUUGCAAUAUCUGGCAAGAGAGUCAAGCACCACAUUUUCCCAAAGGUAUGUAAAGCAUGUAGGGCUGACGGAAAGAUUAACAAGUUUUCUGUGGAAGGAGCAUACAUCUGCCAGGGUGAGGAGGGCCUUCACUGAUGUGCCACUUGUAAAUGCAUAUGAACUCUGUAAUAGGUGCAGUGCUUUCCCUCAACAGCUGCAAUCUUUUCAUUGUACCUCUUUUGUUGAAUUCAGAUAAAAGCACUUCAUCGUCAACAAAUCUAAUAUCUGUUCUUGUCCCACUUGAAAGGGUCAAAUGAAAUUUCCCACCAGAGAACAAAAACCCUGAAGCUCCCUAGUGAGUUUGGGUGGCAACGUGCCAAGAGAGAGGGGAGGAGAGGUAGUGUCUGCAGUGUCUCGGCAGAGCAAUAAUGUCAAGAAGCUUGAAAAGCACUCUCCAGGCUUGCACGCAGUCUCACAGCAAGAGCGGCAGGGACAGCAUGGCAGCCAGACAGGAGCUAGGAAAUUACUUCUCUCCUGAGCUGCUGGGGCGCAGUCUCCUCCUCAAACACUCAUGUCCAAGUGACCAGAUGAAGCUAUGUGGGGUUCCUGUUU
This is a long non-coding RNA of Pogoniulus pusillus (Red-fronted tinkerbird), 2796 nucleotides long. RefSeq lists it as uncharacterized. The transcript is spliced from 10 exons. NCBI's taxonomy places the organism in Eukaryota, Metazoa, Chordata, Aves, Piciformes, Lybiidae. The record is from RefSeq and is a predicted model, not a curated record.